RNAcentral lists this ribosomal RNA (518 nucleotides) under uncultured bacterium. RNAcentral describes it as "bacterial SSU rRNA". It matches the Rfam family "Bacterial small subunit ribosomal RNA", at positions 18 to 518 of the family's 1533-position model. The record is from RNAcentral.
CCUGGCUUAGGAUGAACGCUGGCGGCGUGCCUAACACAUGCAAGUCGAACGAAGCGUCCCGCCCGAAGAUGAGGAGUGCUUGCACAAAUUGAUUCAAUUGGGAUGACUUAGUGGCGGACGGGUGAGUAACGCGUGGGUAACCUGCCUUAGUACAGGGGGAUAACAGUUAGAAAUGACUGCUAAUACCGCAUAAGCGCACAGUAUCGCAUGAUACAGUGUGAAAAGCCGAGACGGUAUAAGAUGGACCCGCGUCUGAUUAGCCAGUUGGCAGGGUAACGGCCUACCAAAGCAACGAUCAGUAGCCGGGGCCUGAGAGGGUGAACGGCCACAUUGGGACUGAGACACGGCCCAAACUCCUACGGGAGGCAGCAGUGGGGGAUAUUGCACAAUGGGGGAAACCCUGAUGCAGCGACGCCGCGUGAGUGAUGAAGUAUUUCGGUAUGUAAAACUCUAUCAGCAGGGAAGAAAAUGACGGUACCUGACUAAGAAGCUCCGGCUAAAUACGUGCCAGCCGCCGC